Molecule: long non-coding RNA, 1633 nt
Filed under: Anolis carolinensis (green anole)
Lineage: Eukaryota; Metazoa; Chordata; Lepidosauria; Squamata; Anolidae
Description: lncRNA (ENSACAG00000044576.1)
Source: RNAcentral
ACGCGCGCGCACGCACGCACGACGUAACGAUGUAACGACGCAAGUGACGCACGCCACGGCGACGUACGACGCACGACGGAGCGACGUAGACCACAGGAAGCAGACUACAAGGCGCGGAGAUAUAUUAGAAGUACAAAAUACAAAGUACAAAGCUGCCAGGCACAGUGAUGUGCAGCCAGGCUCAGCUGUGUGCUGGCAGUUUAAGCCUUCAAUAGAGCAUUUGGAAGGGAAGAGAAGGGAAACUGGACCAGGAUCACUGAAAGCAAGGAGUUCUCAUUGUUAUCUGAAAUUCCUGAAAAGUCACCACAUCAGCCAUGGUUGGCCAGGUGGAAAAAGACAAACAGAUGCUGCUGCUAUUGAAUAGGAGUUGAGAGGAUGAAAAUAUUGCAUCUGCUGGAAGCACAUGAACUGGGAACAAGAACCAUCUUGUGUACAUCCUUCAAGGCACAAGGGAGAUAACUAGUCACCAGUGAAUUAUGUGGGUUUGAGCUGAAUUAUGAAGAUUUGCACUUGCUGUAUCCAUUUUUGGCAGCCAUGCCUGCUGGGUUGAUAACACACCUGCAUAGGGUUGCAUGAUCAAUUUAAUUCACUCUCAUAACAAGAUAUGGGCCAUUUUAAUGAAAAAUUCCCAGAGACAUGUCAAGAAGUCACCUCAUAAAUUUAAAAAGCAUCAAUAAUCAGAGAUUAUUCUGAACUUUUAAAAAAAAUCAGCACAGCAUUCACACUAUUCUAGCUGCAAAGCAGAAGGAAACCUUCCAAAAACGGAAGUUUUAGGCUUCAGUCCAGCAGAUGGCUUUUGUUGUCCUGCAUAAACAAGAAGCCAAUUUAGUUUACUCUCUGAAUAAUUCAUAGAAAGGUAUGUUAUCCUCACCACAACUUGUGCAAAGAUAAUUUUAUGCUUUACCAUGCUCUUGGGAUGAGUUAUAAUGAGAGGGGGAAAGAAAGAGAUUAACAGGGAGUAAAAAGCAGACAACUCUACAUAAAAUUCCAAGAGAAUUCUCCUUUCUUUUUGUAAUGUUAAAAAUAGCCAAGCAAUAUAAACAAAUCUCUGGCACAGAAAAUACAUAUCAAUUCACUACUUGCUAUCUGUAUCUAGAAGGCAAAAGUGCAUACUUACUAAGAGCACCCUAGGAGUGGUUCUUGAUUAUUUUUUAGCACAAACUGAAUUGGCUGAUCUGCCAAGAAAAUUGCUCCAUUAGAAAAAGGCAGAGGUUUGAUAUUGGCUGCCAUUCUGAUUUCAGAAGGAAUGAGCCCUCUCUGAUAGGUAAAGAUAAUCUUAGACGUUGCUUUGAAUAGUCUUUUUGUCACUUGGUAUCUAAACAUCACGAAGAAAGACUACUGCAGAAUCUGAAAGAAUGAGAAAGUCGAGUUUUACAAAAUCUCUCCUGCCACUCAAUAUUUGCUGACAAAAAGUUUGAGAUUCUAUUGUAAUCUAUUUUUACACACUUUUGGCUGUUUAUGUUCCCAUUUCACAGAAGAUAAACUGAAGAUGCAAGAAAGUGACUUUUUUAAAGACAAUCAAGGGAUUGCAUGACAUCCCCCUCCUGGAUCAAGGCCUAGUUGUACUCAUAUGUUCUGCUGCUACAAUCUAUGAAAGCAGAAAAUGAAGUUAGACACUCAGCCACCACAGUUU